UAACAGUGUUGUGUUAUUCUUUUUUUUUCAGGGAAAGAGAUAGAAGUAUCAAAAUGCCAAGGCUGUAAAUUUUUUUAUUUUUUAUUUUUUUUCUCUUUCACAGCACUGAGAAACAAAUGAAAAAAUACGUACAAUACAUCUGUUUUACUUCUUCAUAUGCCAUGUUGAGUCAUCCUUGUGGAAUUUGUACCUGGCUAUGCAGAAGGUUUAUUAUGAAUACUUUUCUUGGUGACAGCAAACCUGUCUUGAGCAGAAGUACACACAAACAGGAGAAUCUUUGCACCAGGAUUGCCCUGGUAUAACUUCAUCAACUACAGCAAGACUUCUUCUUCCAAAAUAAAUUAAGAAUAUUCUGAAACUUCA
Molecule: long non-coding RNA, 363 nt
Filed under: Coturnix japonica (Japanese quail)
Lineage: Eukaryota; Metazoa; Chordata; Aves; Galliformes; Phasianidae
Description: lncRNA (ENSCJPG00005001382.1)
Source: RNAcentral